Long non-coding RNA from Entelurus aequoreus (snake pipefish), 167 nucleotides. RefSeq lists it as uncharacterized. The record is from RefSeq and is a predicted model, not a curated record. The transcript is spliced from 3 exons. NCBI's taxonomy places the organism in Eukaryota, Metazoa, Chordata, Actinopteri, Syngnathiformes, Syngnathidae.
CCACAAGUUAGCUAACAUUACUAAGUUUGUACACAUGUAGAAGAAUGGCUUCUCCCAGAUGUCUCACAAGUCCUCCUGGAUGGCAGAGACAUUUUCAAGAAGACUUCCACUCCUGAUUUGAAUGAAUUCAUUGACACUGAUGUGAACUGCCAAGUUGAAAACAUGGA